Molecule: ribosomal RNA, 497 nt
Filed under: uncultured bacterium
Lineage: Bacteria
Description: partial 16S ribosomal RNA
Rfam family: Bacterial small subunit ribosomal RNA
Source: RNAcentral
GAUGAACGCUGGCGGCGUGCCUAAUACAUGCAAGUCGAACGAACAGACGAGGAGCUUGCUCCUCUGACGUUAGCGGCGGACGGGUGAGUAACACGUGGAUAACCUACCUAUAAGACUGGGAUAACUUCGGGAAACCGGAGCUAAUACCGGAUAAUAUAUUGAACCGCGUGGUUCAAUAGUGAAAGACGGUUUUGCUGUCACUUAUAGAUGGAUCCGCGCCGCAUUAGCUAGUUGGUAAGGUAACGGCUUACCAAGGCAACGAUGCGUAGCCGACCUGAGAGGGUGAUCGGCCACACUGGAACUGAGACACGGUCCAGACUCCUACGGGAGGCAGCAGUAGGGAAUCUUCCGCAAUGGGCGAAAGCCUGACGGAGCAACGCCGCGUGAGUGAUGAAGGUCUUCGGAUCGUAAAACUCUGUUAUUAGGGAAGAACAAAUGUGUAAGUAACUAUGCACGUCUUGACGGUACCUAAUCAGAAAGCCACGGCUAACUACGUG